This is a long non-coding RNA of Falco peregrinus (peregrine falcon), 13411 nucleotides long. RefSeq lists it as uncharacterized. The transcript has 7 exons. The record is from RefSeq and is a predicted model, not a curated record. Lineage: Eukaryota; Metazoa; Chordata; Aves; Falconiformes; Falconidae.
UGUUGACUCAUGGGUGCAGCAGUGGUACUUUGCACAGGUGUCUUCACCUUCACAUCUCACACACCCGUUACCACACGUCAUCACACACCUGCAGUUGGCAGGGCUCCUGGCAGGCUCCUCACUGCAGCUCCCUCCACUGCCUGUCCAAGAUGCUGAAAAAAGGGAUUGGGGAGUUCAAUGGGAAUGGAGUGACUUGAGAAUCAGGAGUGCCUUUUAGGACAGCUGCUCCCUAAUAGCUUUCCUGCUAUGCAGCCAUGAAGCACCUACCCAUGUUACAUUCUUUUCAGCUUUAAAGAGAAUUUUACAGAGGUACAGUAAUGUUUAAAUACCAGCUGAGAAGUGGGUCGUUUUGUUUCAGACUGUAAAGCAUACAACAAAUAACAAUGCCUAUCCUCAGAAGGCUAAUCCUGUGCCACAGUGCUGUACCUCCAGUGGCUUCAGCAGGGUUUGAAAAUUCCUCCAAGACUUCUGUGGUCCAAAUGACAAACACAGUCAAAGCCCCGUGGGCUGGGGGGAAUGGGAGAAUCUCUUCAAGCAUUUCUCUUACUCUCAUUGAGUAGGACUAUACCAUCACCUACUCACUCCACUGGAGGAAAGAUGGGCUCUAAGCUAGCAAGGGCCCAUGAACACUGGGGAAGGGGAACAGAAUUGCAAACAAAUUGGAAUCCAUAGUCAUGACUAUGACCCUGGACUGUUCAAAAGCCACUGUCAAAGUGAUAGCUAGGAAAAAAAACCAAGAUGCACCAGCAGAGAGCUAGAGAUGCAGAUUUCAAACGCAGCAGAGAAUGGAAAGAACUUGUAUGAUUUCCUAUACAAAACAUUUUCUUGAUUCCUUUUUUUUCCCUUCAUAUAAAAGAUAAAUUUCUGCCACUAAUCCAACCCACUCAGCGGCUUAGCCACCAGCCCACUCAGUGGCUAAAUUAUACAUAGGCUCUCCCUGUUACACUGCCCGACACAAGCAUCUUUCACUGCUGGGUGCUGUGGGACAGCAGGUGAGAUGUUCCUUUAAAAUUAAGAGUAGUUCAGGUUCAUUUCACACCACUGAAAAGCUUCCAUGAUGUUACUAGUGUCAUGCUAGUCUAAACUUGACAUAAAUUAUACCAUAAUCAAAGUCCUGUUCAUUAACUCAGUGAAAAUCUCUCUUCUGAUUUAUUUGGAUUUUGUUUCAGACAACAAGUUUAUAAUCCAGAAAACUCUGAAGAUCCACAAAUUCAACAGUGCCAUAGAAAAUAAAUAUUUACCACUAUAGUAAUAUAAAAAAUAUAUUAUUAGUAGCAGCUCUCUUGUGCUCCAGUAAUUAAGAAACAGACAUGUCAAUUUUAAAAGCUCAAAAAAGAAGUUGUGAAAACAAACAUGGAUUAUAGUUAUAGGAUACCAUUUAAGAGAUACAGGCACACUGGAGAGAGAUACAGAAAGCAACAGGAAUUGUCAGAGGUCUAGAAAUAAUAACCUAUAAGAAAAGAUUGAAAGAUUGUCUAGAUGAGGGAACAAUGAAAGGAAAUAUGGAAACAGCCUGCUAACAUGCAGGUGGAUGCUCCAAAUACAAAGGGUAUUAUCACUCUCCCUUGUCCAUGAGAUUAAGACAAGAAGUAAAGGGACUUAAAAUGCAAUAGAGGAGAUUCAGGUAAAACACUGAAAAAAGCUUUCUAGUAGUAAAGUGUCACAGCACUCUCCAAACUAUCAAGCUACAAACAAGGUCUUUUACCAGCACACUCUUCAUGCCAGUCCCUCUACUGCCUUCUCCUACUCACCUCAUCCAGGGCACACUCUUUCUCUUGCUUUUUCCUCUCUCCCUUAGCUGCUCCUUCUUCACUAGCUGCCCAACCCCUUACCAGAACCAGCCACAGCUGCACCUUAUCUACAUCGGACAAACACCCGCCCCUGAAGCCAGCCCACAGCAGUAUAUUAUCAGUGCUAAUUAACCCAGCUUCAUUCCUCUACAGUAAAGCUCAGGAAUCACCAAAGUUGGUAUAGAAUCUCCACUAUGAGAUGUUUUUAAGAACAAGAAGGACAAACUUGCCCCAGAUAAUUACAGUUUAUGUCACCAGAGCAAAAGCAUGGGUGAUAUGUGUUCUCAAGAUUCCUUCUAUCUCUUUCUACUGUGUUUUGAAAUUCAACCUUUUCUAUUCUAACAGUAGGAAAUUUUUUCCCUUUAUUUAUUUUGUUUGUCACAUAAUAAAAUAAAAAGCAGUUUGCCUAUUGAAAGAUGGAUUAUUUGGAUCAUAAUUAAGCUAUAACUCCUUUAGGUCAAAUAUAGAAACAAAUUGUUGAUUUGGAAAAAUUACUGAGUGCUACCUCAGUAUUCCAACUCAGUUUUAUUACGGGAAUCCAUCUUUUUAAAGAUACCAUUAAAAAGCCAUAUAUAUACCAGCCAUAUAGAGGACGGAGUAAUAACCUAGAAUAAUUAUUGAAAUAAGAUGUCAUACCCAAAACACAAUGCCAGAAAGUUCUCAAAAUAGGGUUUACCAUUCUGAAAGGAUUCCUUUUCAAGUGAAGGCUUGCAUCAAUGUCUCUCUUUAUAGAUGAUAUUCAUAAAGUAUACAUACAGACCUUUCCAUCACUUACAUCUCAGUGCAUGAGAACAGGUUUGGGCUUAUCUUCUAUUUAAAAGAGUUUCACCAGACAUAUGUAGACAAGAGAAUCUUUACAUAUCAACUCCAUGGACAAAACCUGGGUGUGAGAAAGAGUAUUGAAAACAUUCCCAUAAACUGUUGCCUAAGUGUUUGUUGAGGGUUCUUUUUGUUUUGCUUUGUUUUUCACCUUGUAUCACAUUUGCUGAUACUGGUCAUAACCAUAUGAAAUAGCAGUAUUCAGAUCCCAAAUGCUCUUGAUAUUUUUGCCAUAAAUGCAAGACACGAGUUGUAAAAAAAUGGAGUUAGUAUUUCUUAUUGGGAGACUAAUCAUCUUUGAACUAGGAAGUUUCAGUUUAACUCCAAAGGAACAGCCAAUAAUGGAGUGAAAACAAUGUUACAACAAUGCACUGUGUGGUCAAUCAUACAAUAUGUGAUUCAACAAAUGCACUGCAAACCACCCAUGGGCUACAAAUGGUUCAUUCACAUUAAAUUAUGAAAAGCUGCAAAUUACAAACAUGAUGGAAAAAAUUGGUUCAUGAAUGAUGUAUUAACCCAGAUACUGGCAAAAAUGAUAAAACAUAGUUGGGCAAGCACUACUUUUCAUUUUCAUAUGGUAUGAAACAGAUUGUGAAGCUGGGUUGAAAAUUGAGCUACGGAGCAUUACAGGGAUCAAAUGGCAUUAAUAUGUUUCCAGAAAUGUAGGAGAAAAGGGAAUGUGGAAAAACUCUUAAAAAAAAAUAUAACCAAACAAAAGCACAUAACAGGAUACCUUAACUGCAAUUCAAUAAAGUAAUUUUGCAGCUAAGACAAAGUAAUGACCACAUUUCUGAGAUUUGUAAUACAUAGCAGGAGCUGGGCCCAAGGGCAGUGCAUACUUAUUACUGGCAGUGUGUAUGCUCUUUCAAUACCCAUAAAAUAUUAUAAAGCUUGAUCUGACACAGUCAGCAGACAGUCUGCACAUUAUGUUGUUACAAUGAGUCUAAUUUCAAGAACAGCUCAGAGCCAAAAGUAAAUAAAUAAACUACGGAAAUAAAUAAAAUAAGGGACUACGUAGAACCACUAACCUUUCAUAGAAAAAGGAGGACAAAAACCAAUGUGGCUGUCAGCAAGACCAGCUGGUUUCUUGCAAUAUCAUCUUCACCCCUGAAGAUCAUCCCACCUACCAGAACUCAAGGACUGAAAAAUGUCAACAACAGGAAAUAAACAAGGAAGGGAGAAAUUAAAAUGCCUGUGACCAUCAGGAGCUGUGGAAAGAAUAACUGACACCUGAUGCUUUUCUGCAAAAGGCAUCUAGGUAUGGGCUAGCAACUCCUGCUAAUUUUGGAAGGUGGGAUCCUGAAUGUUUUGCAUGACAGGGAACAAGGUGCUGUUGAAAACACUUGAUAGUAUGCAGAGCUUCCUGAAAUGUGUUCCUAUAGCCAUCCCCAGUCACUCAGGAUCUAAGAACAAGAUACUUCUCAUAAAGAUUAACAGGUAUCUGCUCUGAUCCGUAUACUUCUGUAAGAUGGACUCAGAAUGCACUUUGGUUCUUUGUGAGCCCUCUUCCAAAUGUGAAACAACAGCAUGGGGUGGUGAACCUGUUUUUCAAAGGGACUGAAAGCAGUUCACACUUCUAUACAUUGCUAAUCUUGGGUGUGUCGGUGAGUGGGAUGGUCAUCUGCCUCCUCACAAAAGUUACCCUCUGAAGCCUUUCACACUGUACUCUUCUGACCAUUUUAAGCUGCAUCUCAAACAUCCAAAACAAGAAAAAGUAAAGCCAGUAUUUCACUCCUCAAAUAUGUGCCUUCAGAUUUGGAGAAGGUGUCUGAACUUAGGGCAUCAGACAACCUGACUGAGUGAACUGCAAUAGGGCAUCCAAAAACCACAAAGAAAUAGCCAGUCUCUUUUACUAUCCAGACAAAAUGUAGCCAUCAAAGAAAAUCCUACUGUGUUAGUGUCAACUUUUCUGGAGGAACUGAAAUAUACAGAAAUGAAGUGACUCAGAAGUCUCUGAAGUUUUAAACUACACUUGUUAGGCAUCCAUGAGUACCUUCUCCAAAACUUAAGGUUGAAUUGGCUUCCCCAGGACUAAAAAUCCUGGUGUGUUGCACCUUUUGCUGUGUUUCACACAUUUAGGUGUUCUACAGGAGCUGAGUGCAUUUUUCCUGCUCUAGGCAGAAAGAGAGUUUAAGCUUAUUAUUAUUAGUUGCUCACUGGAGAGAUUGAACCAUUCUAAGCAAAAAUACAGAAUCUGCCAAAACUAAGCUGGGUUUGGAACUACCAUUUAAUCAUAAAAGACUGCAAGCAAAAUUUAAAUCAGAGAAAAAAGGUUGAGAAAAAAACAUAUGAAAGAGAUGAAUGAAGAAAAUACCUGGGCUGGUACUAAGUGAAGUGACAGAAAAUGAAUGACUGAUCCAAUGGAGAAUUUGCUAUUGACCUUAGUGACAACAAAUCUUGACUUCCCUGCUGUUCAACUUAACCACUUUUUAGGGAAGUACUCAGCUGGGAAAAAAUAUUCAGAGGUUACAAAGAGACAUUGAUUUCUCUCUACUCAUUCAGUCUGACUUGGGAAAGACAAAUGGCAGAGGUGUUGAAUGGACAAAUGUAAAAGGAGCACAUAGACUGAUGCAUAGAGCUACAAUUGCUCCCCACACCAGGAUACGUAUCUCAGGUUUGUUACUGGCCAAGAUGAAGGAUGUAAGCUGAAAUUCAGAAAUUGUCCAUCUAUCAGUCAUGCAGUUUCCGGACUUCAAAAAGAAAGUCACAGCAGGCAGAAGAAAAUUACCUUAGGCCUUUUCAAAGUCUAAGACAGUUUUAAUGCAGGUUUCAAAGCACUCUGAAAAUCCCCCGUGACCUAGCAAACAUGAAUAGGUGGGAUGUUUAUAGACAGUGACUGCUGGCUGGGGAUAAGACAAGCAAUUGUUCCUCACCUUACAUCUUGCCCUCCAAAACCUGUCGUCUCACAGUACUAGAAAGCUCUGAGCUCCAUUAUGCUUAAAUUGCUCUAUAUUACUACAUCCUACUGCUGUUUGAGGUGGUUUGUUAUAGUUACACUCCUGCCAGGCAGGUAUAAGGAAAUAAAUGAUACAUUUUGAUACAAGGCUAUUUUGCUGAACUGCGUGGAUUAAAGAACUGGUAAUAAAUUUCUUUUUUCUCUUCUAGGCCACUGGUGCAAAUCCAGUCCAGUUCAACAGUGACCAGAAGUUAUUGCCACCUGACAACAGAACUGAAUCCAUGUGAAAUUGAUUGGCAGUUCUUAGCCCAGCUCCUAAUGGCUUGGUCAUGAAAUUACUACCACUUCUGACACAAAUUGGCCCCAAUGAAGCUGUAUUAACACCAGCACCCAAGGACAAGUGGGGUGGAACACUCCCUCCGCUAUUUAUGUGCCAGGGAGAGUCAGGUCACAUUUUUCAUUUAAAAAGCUUUCUUUAUUUUAAAAAAAGGACUUUUAUCAAGACUGAAACUUUUUCAAGGGAAAUACAAAAUCCAACACAAAAAUUGAUCUUUUUAUAGGAAGUGUCAAGCUGAAAUAUUUUUCAUUUUUUCUUAAAAUGUUGUUCCGCUUUGGAAUUUCAGUUUUAAAAAAGGAACGUGUUACAAUGGGUGUUUAAGAUGACAGCUAGGGUGGCAUUCGUUUUACCUAACUUGAGACAUCUAUAGUGUAGGCGUCAACCUCAGAACUAGUCACCCAAGGUUUCCUUUAUAGUCAAUGGAGAGAAAUAGAUACAUUUAACGUGUGAUUCAUCUGACCUAUUUUAAAUAUCUACUUUAAGAUGAAUAAUGAUCUUAAAAUUACCCUCUCUCUCUGCUGACUAUGGUAUGAGACUACAGAGACUAUCUCAAAUGGAGAUCCAGCAGAGACACCUACUAACGGUCAGAUGAGUCUUCUCCCAGUUGUCUAAUUCUUUAUUACACCCUUGCUUUUCAGCUUUUUAACACUGAAUACCUUAGCAAAUAAGAUAUUUUCAGUUGAAAUAAAAGGAAAGCUGUAUGUUGUUUCAGAAUUUUAAUUUGAAGAUUAAACUUUUCCAAGCCAAUUAAAAAUUUUAAGUGGAAAACCCUAUUACCUGCGUAUGAAGCUGAAGAUACACUAAGGGACAUUUUAGUAGGUAAGAAGGAUGAAAAAUCAUAGGUUUUCUGAAUUCUGUGUCUAUCAUCUCAUCAAAUGGCUUCCACUUACAACUACUGAAGUCAACAGAAAAGCUACAAGGCAGUUCCUAGGAAUGAAGAAUUCAGCUGUUUUGCUUUUCACUCAAAUCUGCGAUGAAGGGAAAGGGGAGGGAAGCAAGGACAGCAGAGGGGAGAGAUAGGAACAAGUGGGACUGGUCAUGGGAAACACGGAGUAGGUGCAGAAAGCAUGAAGAGACGGAUGUUGUAAAGUGUGGCUGAAAAGAAUAAGAGGCAUUUGUGAGAAUGUCUGAAAGGAAGGCAGAGGUAAGAAAGGGCAUAGAAUGGGUAACAAAAGAAAAGGAGCUGUGGGUAGACAUUAACAUUUUACACAGAGUUAAAAAAUCCAAAAUGAGGACAAGUUUUUUCUCACAUUUUGAGCAUCAUUUCCUAUGUUGUCAGGCACACAUCAGACAAAAGUAAAGCAGCACUGUGGAUCCUGCUCCUCCCUCUAUUUUCGGUGUACCCCCAUUCAGGUCCAGAGCUGUUCACAGACCUCCUUCCUCUUUCUCAUCUUAUACUUCCACAGAUCCAAACCAUUUUUUUUGUAGACCUUUGGUUGCAUUGGACUUUGUCCAGUUUCAGCCACACAGAUGGGAAUAUAGCUCAUUUUGUUCAGUAGAGCCAAGUAUAUUGAUAAAAACAAAUUUACAUUGAUUGCCUCUGAGCCUAACACACAGACUUUCUCCUCCCCUCUCCCUAACAAAGCCGUGGAGGAGAUUUUUGAUUUGCCAAUACUCUCACAAACAAAUUAGCUUGAUUUUAACUCCAUUAUUCAGGCUAAUCUCUCUUGGAUUUCCUAGAAUUUGCACAGGAAAUGGUUCAUUUAUUAUAGAUGCUGUGUACACUUAGCUUUUGUAAUUCAAGGAAUGUGUUAGGUGGUUUGUGGUGACAUUUUCCUUUAAUAACGUGGGCAGCACUGGAAUGUCUUUCUCUAACUACCAGUUCACUUGGUGGAUGCACAUUGUUUAGAUUGAGAGCAAGAAAUUCUCAGGUGAUUUGCAAGUACAGGAGAAAGUAGCUGCUGGAAAGGUUAGGAUUAAAAUUGAGCUGUGCCUUUGCCUAGAAAGGAAUCUGAGACUAAUGAUGAGGUUUCAUGCAAUUAUCUUUUAACAGUCUUCACUUGUCUUCCUCUCCUUACCUCUUUCUUUCAGGUAGGAAGAAAAAUGAAAAUAUGGGAAGCUGUGCAGUGGUUCAGAGUCAGACCAGCAACAUGCAGGAGUUUUAGGUUGACUGAGCUUCAGAGAAUGUCAGGUCUGGUCUCUCUCGCUUUCCUUAGGAUUGGCCAGAUGGCUCCUUUGAAAUGAAUGUGUCUAAUUUUAGAACCAGAAAAGGAAAAAAAAACCAAAACCCAACACAACCUAGAUAGUCUAAAGCAAUGUGACUUUUUCCUGAAAGCUUUGAUGUGUUAAGAUUCUAUGGCAACAUUUUUUCCUCUUUCCAUUUGCUUGACUCUCUUUCAGUCUCUCUCUUUUCCCCCACAGACAUGCAUGUUUGUUAACAAAAUUAAUGAAGCACAGAGAUGUAUCUCAUGAAAAGAGACUGCUCUGUUUGGUGCAGCUGGAAUGCUCUUAGCAUGUAAAGGACUCACUUGCUUUAUUGGUUUUCUGUGACUAACCUGAGAAAAAGAUAUGUCAAAAUCACUGUAAUAUCAUAUUAAACUGGACUAAUCAGGCAACAUGGGGCAUGAAUUUCAGAUUACCAAGCGGGGCUGUCCGUGGAAGUGUAAGAAUGGAAUACUUAAUUUUUUUCCUCUUAUUAGAGCUGCAUGCAUUUUGUUUGUUUUUUAGAUUAGUUGUGUUCUUGCAAUAUGUAUGCUAAUUUAUAAAUACUGAAGCUUAUGAUGUAUCCAAAUUAUCUUCCAAUUCACACUGACUUCAGUGAAUCAUGCAGACACAGAUAACUUUCCUAAAUUCUUACUCUGUAAUUUUCCAAAAAAAUGGUAUAUUCCAUUUUGAAAUUAAUUAAAAAUUUUGUCCAACCUGAAACUGAGAUACAUGGACAAGCAGAUAAAUGGACAGACAGGUAGACAGCUAGAGAUUUACAGAUAGGAUGAAAAUAAUUAGUUUAUUCUCAUUGAAUAUGUAAGUAUCUCAAGACUAAAACUAGUCACUGUAGUUUUGCUGUGUAACUCUGCUUCCUUGUGUUUAAUACAGCACAAAGUGGUGUAUACGAAGAAAAUAAUGAAGCAUUUUAAAAGUAAAGAGCUGCAUAAUUAGAGCUAAAGAGCUGAAACUCUUGCAAACAAAGGAUACAGAUUUCAAGUGAGCUUGAGAUAAAUCUUUAACAUCUUUGACCUUCUUAGCUUACUGCAAAAUAGCUGGCAAUGGUGCUUUGCAAUUGCAUGCACUGUGCUUUAGAUAAUUUAUUGUUCAGUUUGUACAGUCCUUUGUAAUAAAAAAUUCAGCCUUCAAAAGGAGGUCUAUUGUGUUGGAUAGGUAAAAGCCUAAGAGAAAAAUGGGAGGUUACACACAUGACAGGAAAGUAAACCAGCUCUGCAUUUGUUUGUCAUGUCUGUCAUCCAAAGAAUAAGAUCUUCACAACAAAAUCUUCUAAGGUUUUCUAAAUUUUUACAGUGUGAAAUACUUAGCAGAGAUAUUAAAGCAAUAAAUAAAAAAAAAUACUUUAUAAAAAAAAAUACUUCGAUUGUGUCUUUUCCUCUAAACCUGGCUCAUUUGGGAGCUCAAAGAAGCUCAGCAGGCGAAGAAAGGAGCUUAGGCGGUGUCUCAUAUUACUGAGUUGAGUUUGUGCUAUUAAUUGAAACAAAACUUACUGCCUAAAGUUUCUCUGUUCUAUCUUCAGUACCCUGACAAAUUAAUUUUCCUCAGUCCUCUUCAUUCAAACAAAGGUACAUUACAAUAGAUGAUAAUUUUUCUCUAUGUUACUUUGAAAGAUAAUGUACAAGAGGUCUAGUGGAGGAUACAGCUGGAACUGAUUGACUCUUAUUGGCUCUGCCCUGACUGGUGUAAAGGGGCAGCUGAAGCCUGGGCUGAAGGCCAAAUUGACCAUCACUGUGUCCCUGCCUUCAAGAACAUCAUUACCUUGCAUUCCCAUGUUCUUUCUUUCCUGGAGAUGGAAACAACGGUUCACACUUUUCUUUAGGUACCAUAGCAAAGUUCAGCAUAGCGGGUCUUUGAGGCCCUAACAAUGCACAUUUUAAAAAGCUGUUGACAAAGGCACACCUCAGCACCAUCUAUCUGCGGUGUAUUUUCAAUAUAUUCUGUUUAAUGAAUGACUCUUUUUGAGUAAGAAGAGAGAAGCAGCGAUGCACACAUUGCUGCUAGCAACUGUGACAUUGGACAGGUAAGUAAUAAGUAACAAGUAAAGGUCCUGCUCCCAGGACUCUGAUUUCAAUGGAAAAGACAAAGCCUUUGCUUCUACUAGUUUAAUUAGUGAAUUCAGUAAAUGCUGUCUUUGUUUGAUUGUCUCUAUAUAAUAAAGACAUACAUCUUGAAUAAAUAUUUCUACAGAAAUAUCAUCUAGUUAUGCUUCUAGAGAGCAAGCUAUUUUCAAUAAACUGGAGCUGUGAUGAGACUUGAGAGAAUUAAUAUGCAUAAUAUUACAGUGAGGCCCACUUACAAGAAUGGCCUGAAUUAUGUAUUUGUAAUUCAAUGUCCCAAGCUUUUUAAUGUACUCUUGAGGAUAAUUGCAGCUGCAGUACAACUGGUGUUACAUACAGUGUGCAUAGAAUUUUUGUUUUCCAUUUUUUGCCUAGUUUUCUCCAUCAGAGUUUCUUUUUAUUUCAGAUGCUGGCUGUGACUGUCCCAGACCUCCCCAACGUACACCUAUUGCAAACUGAAUUUCCCCAUCCCAGUGCUUACAUUUAAGAGGCACAGAAAAUAACCUGAAGAAAGCUUCUUGUUGGGGAAUAUGGUGGGAAAAUAUCAACGGAUAGUGAUUGCCAAAACACGAGAUAUUAAAGAACAUAAAAUCUAGCACAAGAGAGCCCAGGAGCUGAGCUGAGAUGCAAUAGUGUGAGGAAUGGAGCCAGAUCCAUAUCCGUCACUUACACAGAGAAACCAAGGCUCUGGAUUCAGCCAGAGUCCUUGUAAAUACCAAAACAAGAGAUGAAUUCCCAAGGCUUUCAGAAGUCCUCAGUUUCUAUGUUUAUGUUGAGGAACAGAUUAUCCAGGGAGCAGGGUAGCAUAGUACAGCCUUCGGCACCUGGGCUGAAAUGUAGCUAAGCAAAUGACUGCCCUCCCCUCUGCUCUCUUUCACCUCCACAGCCUAAGCCCUGAGGAACAUACGCACCAGGGUUGUCUUGAAGCCUGCAAACCCAACAGGUCCUCAGAGCUUCUGGCAAUGCAGCUGCCAAAGACAUCUGCAGAGCCCGUUUAGGAAGUCUGGUCCUUCUGUUCUUAGCAAUAUGCUAUGACUGUGCUACAAGAAGGUAUUCCUUUGUAUUUUUCUCUUAUACUGAAUGCUAUUCUAGCAUUUUUCUACUGACAAUGUAUGUGGUUGAACAUGGGAGAGAAUAAUAAAGGAAACAGCUUUGGAAGAACAGAUAUUAUUGACACAGCCCAGACUUUGGACAGUACACAUUAUUUGAUGGCAGCUUUUCAUCAGUUUGCCUUUCUAUGAGAACAGAUAGACUUGCCUGUCUCUCUCAAUUAGAGACAGUGUUCUGCUCCCAUUUAUGCCAGUAAAAUCCUCCAAAACUCAGUGAAACAACACUGGCAAAAGACCUUGGACUUAGAUGAUUUACUUUUAUGAAGAAAAACCUGAUGAAAAAGAACACAGAAAAUACAGUCCUCAGGGGUAAAAAUAACAGCACUGCAGUGUUACACAUCAGUGACUCUUGUCUUGGAGGUUAUGGAGUGGUGGCAGUCUGUGAGACAUGGACAUUGGAAAGUGGUCCAUGAGAUGAUCACAGAGGAAAAAUUAAAGAUAAAAAACAAAGGUGCUCUCACCCACAGUCAUGCAAGUGAGCAAACAAAUAAAACAGGAGGAAAUAAAAGGAAUAAAGGAACAAAGCUUAGCCUAGGUUGUAUUUAUUUGUGAAUGAAAAACAUUGUGAAAACACUACUCUACGGAAGAUGAGGUAUGGAUCUUCAUCAGGCAGGUGAGGCUGAUGCACAGAGCCCCGUGAAAGACAACCUGACCUCAACACACCUGGAUCUGUGGCUUCCUCAUCUGGGCUGCCAGGGCGGAGUGACCAGCCUUGAGCCUCAGCAGCCAGAAAUCAUCACGAGAGCAGAACAGCUGGUGUGUGCUACCCAAACCCACAUCUUGGGAACCAGCAGGAGCCCUCAGCUGAAACAUGGAUGCUUAUUAGAGCAGGACCCUGCCACAUGUGUCCCUGGCUGGGCUCCUUGGCAGCUCUGCAGUGACAGCAGAUAGCUGGGCUGUGUAACUGGCCCCAGGAGAAGGUUAAUCCUCUCUGUUCAAACAGCUGGAUGCACAGUACCGGCACUGUACUUGGAACAAAAGAGGAAAAAGAGCAAAGGGUUUAAUCUGCUCUGACACAGCAGAGUCCUUUUAUGUUCAGAUGGCAACUUGUUGAUGAAGAGGGCUACUGCAGAGUGAUGACUUCUCACUCCUUUAAUUUUACCUAUAAUUUUUGAUUCAUGUGUGAUUUCAAUAAAUUAAAGAACAGUACUGCUAAUCCAAGGAAGGCACAUUUUUUUCCACACAGUGCUGUCUGACCUUUUGUGCUGAAUAUCAGUAACUGAAUAUAUAUCCAAUACACCAUCUUUUUAGAAUUUAGAGAAGUCAGAUUUUAGAAGUUUAAUAUCUCUAUCAUCAGUAAUAUGUGUCAAAUAAUGCCUGCCUAUACUAAGUUAACCUAAAUUCUUCCUCCAGAGUAAAUCCUGUUCACUAAAGAAGACCACUUCUACCUCCUUUCCUCCAAUAUACAGGAUUGCAAAUCUUUAUCAGUUCAUUACAGAUAAAAGAGUCACUUGCUUCUGAAGCAUCACAGAUGUGCAAGAGAAAGUACUGAACAUGACAGACCAUUGGUGCCUAACAGGGAAUGAAACAAAAGAUAGGCUUAAUUGUAAAAGCUUGGGAGCCAACAGAUUUGGCAUUUCUACUGAGAUGUAUCAAUUCUCACUCAACCUUUCAUUUCUGUGACUGUAAAAGGGAUUUUUGCUAUCAACUUCCAUGGCAACAGAAUCAGGCUGCUGAUGUCUUUUGACUCAGUUUCCCAGUCAAUAAAAUAAAAAGGCCUGUACCUCUUUCAUGGGUGUAUAAACACACUAAUGCUGGCCCUGCAUGCUGAGAGCCGUGUAUUUGAUUCCAGAGUGUUAUUGAAACUGAUUGAUGCAACUCAUUACCGGGCUGUAGGCCAGACCAGCUUUUAAGUCCUUUCCAUGGCAGCAAAUUUGGGCCGUAUAAUAAACACAGCCAUGCUUAUAAGCAGAUCUGUCAUAAAUAUAACACAUCUGUGAUCACAAAAGCAUAAGUUUAUAGAGCAAAGCAGAAGGAGCAGUGAGGUGGAGGGACUGGACCCUUGCCGAUGUUGGUGGUAAGCCCUGGUCAGUAGGGCACAUGUCCUUGUCCCAUGCGAGGGCAGACCUCUGCAUUGCUUUCCCUGCUCUCAGGCUGCUGCUGUGUCUGCUGAAACAUCUAAGUAGAAACAUGUCUGCAUGAUUGUGCAUGAAGGUACACACUUAUCCAUGGGUGGAUUGCAAAGGGGCUUGAAGGGAAUGCAAGCACUCAGAUCACAUUGUAAUACAAGUUCUCCAUAUAUG